UGGAAGACUAGUGAUUUUGUUGUUGAGAGUGGAACGACAACAAGUCACAGUCUCCUGCA
This 59-nucleotide microRNA precursor is filed under the name Eptatretus burgeri (inshore hagfish). RNAcentral describes it as "Ebu-Mir-7-P5_pre stem-loop". The record is from RNAcentral. Lineage: Eukaryota; Metazoa; Chordata; Myxini; Myxiniformes; Myxinidae.